RNAcentral lists this transfer-messenger RNA (380 nucleotides) under Pseudomonadales. RNAcentral describes it as "UBA9659 sp018665025 Standard tmRNA". It matches the Rfam family "transfer-messenger RNA". From Rfam's summary of the family: Bacterial tmRNA, also known as 10Sa RNA or SsrA, is named for its dual tRNA and mRNA-like properties. Its role is to liberate the mRNA from a stalled ribosome. The record is from RNAcentral. RNAcentral also lists the same sequence under 1 other name. Lineage: Bacteria; Pseudomonadati; Pseudomonadota; Gammaproteobacteria.
GGGGGCGACUUGGCUUCGACGCCGGUUGCGAAACCUGAAGUGCAUGUCGAGAGGGUAGUGACUCUCGUAAAUCAAUCGCUGUAACUACUUAUAGUUGCCAAUGACGAAAACUACGCACUCGCCGCUUAAUUAGCUCUUAACGAGCCGUUUAGGCUAAGCGAAACCCGGGGCGAAUGUGCCCAUGUAUUCAAACCGGGUGCUCGACUCAUGGGAUCGCUGCCAGACCCCGCUUGUGGUUAAAGCAGCUAAACUAAAAGCAAGCUCGCCUUUCGAACCCUGUUUGCCGGGUCAGCGAAAGGUUAAAUAAUAGACAAACUAUGUAUGUAGAGCCGAAGGCAGAGAACUGACGGACGCGGGUUCGAUUCCCGCCGCCUCCACCA